UUAGAAAACGAGUCGAUUUGGAGCAGCAGAGCAGAUUGACAUCUGGUACCAAUGAACUAAAUUUGUUUUCAUUUUCUGUUGGCCGGAUUCCAGUGAGUCCUCAAGUCAUCUUGAGAGUCUAGAAUGUAAAAAAAGGAACUGUAAAAAAAAGAAAAUUGCUGUCCAGCUUCUGUUCCAUCUUUCUGUGCAUCUGCUGCUGGACAUCAUUGAGAAUGAUUUGGAGCAAUCCUGUCCAGCCCUACAUUGACUUGACAUCCAACAGCUC
This 265-nucleotide long non-coding RNA is filed under the name Dromaius novaehollandiae (emu). RNAcentral describes it as "lncRNA (ENSDNVG00000003328.1)". The record is from RNAcentral. Lineage: Eukaryota; Metazoa; Chordata; Aves; Casuariiformes; Dromaiidae.